ACUACCGAUGAACGGUUUAGUGAGGCCUUCCGACCCGCGCGCUCUCGGUCCCCGUCCACCGGAGUCUCCGGCGGCGGCGGAACGAGGACGGCCGGGCAAGUCGGUCGAACUUGAUCGUUUAGAGGAAGUAAAAGUCGUAACAAGGUUUCCGUAGGUGAACCUGCGGAAGGAUCAUUAACGGACCGAAGGACGAUCGAUACCCUGUGAACCGUACCGCGUGGUGGGGGUGGUUGUCGGUGCCUCAAAUGGCCCGUGAGUGCACGGGGCCGGCCCCUCCUUUGUUUCGAUCGACCAACGCAUUGAUUUUCCAGACUGUCAUCCAUACGCAAUGUUUAAUAAAUGACGACAACUCGGAACGGUGGAUCUCUUGGCUCACGCAUCGAUGAAGAACGCAGCCAGCUGCGAUAAGUAGUGCGAAUUGCAGAAUACAGUGAAUCAUCGAAUCUUUGAACGCAAAUGGCGCUCUCGGGUUGCAAUCCCGGGAGCAUGUCUGUCUGAGUGUCGGAUCCAUCCGUCCGUCCGCAUUCGUUGCUCGUUCGUGGGCAGCAAAGGAAGAUCGAGGUGUCACGGCCGGCCCGGGGCCGGCCGUGUCCCUCUCGGUCCAGCGUCCGUCUCGGUUCCACACGCGGAUUCGACCGAGGAGGAGAACGACGAACCAGAAAUGGUCUUGUCGACCUCAGAUCAGGCAAGACGACCCGCCGAAUUUAAGCAUAUCAAUAAGCGGAGGAAAAGAAACUAACCAGGAUUCCCCCAGUAACGGCGAGUGAAGCGGGAACGGGCUCGAACCGAAAAUCGCCGGCCCUCUCCCGGGAGGGCCGCCGACUUGUGGUCGAGAGAAGCGCUCCUUCCAGGCCGUCGUCCGGGUCGCGUCCGAGUCGCUUGGAAGGGCGCGUCGCGGAGGGUGAGAACCCCGUCGGCGGCGCGACCCGAGGGCCCGCGAGGCGCUUUCCGA
This 952-nucleotide ribosomal RNA is filed under the name Alveopora sp. Kenting CAC-2004. RNAcentral describes it as "eukaryotic LSU rRNA". The stretch from base 348 to 504 matches the Rfam family "5.8S ribosomal RNA". Lineage: Eukaryota; Metazoa; Cnidaria; Anthozoa; Scleractinia; Poritidae. The record is from RNAcentral.